RNAcentral lists this long non-coding RNA (3715 nucleotides) under Zea mays. RNAcentral describes it as "long non-coding RNA (ZMAY_LNC005127)". The record is from RNAcentral. Lineage: Eukaryota; Viridiplantae; Streptophyta; Magnoliopsida; Poales; Poaceae.
GCUUCAGACGCAGAAGGUGCGCAUCACAGACUUCUUGGACGAGCGCUCUGCUUACCUGACCAAGUUCGCCAAGGACGCCGACUCGGAGUUCGACCUGAUUGGGCAGAACGCUAUGAAAGAACUUGAUGCCGUUGGUGACCAGGUGAGCAUCUCUUGCCAUCAAUAGCUAUGAACAUCUUACUGAUACUCACUGUUUGACAAACAACUGCGGUGUCUGACGAGGUAGAUACUGGAGAGGCUCGACAGCAAGAUGCAAGCCUUCGAGGAGACGGCUGAGGUGCAACGGCAAGAGAUAGAAAUGAACGAUAAGGUGUUAGAGGACUUCGAAGACUGGAUCGAAAAGGAGAAAAACGAAGGGAUGUUCUUCAAAAGCCUUGGCAAGGUCAAACCUCGGAACAAGAUGGAAAUAAAGGUGAAAGCCAAGGUGGAAGCACAGAAGGUCAAAGAGAUUGCAGAGGAGAGUGCAGGAUCAAAAACUCGUAUGAACAUUUACCUGGGGCUGAUGGGGAUACUCGGGAUUACAAUUGCGAAUGCCAUCUUUGCAACACCAGAGGUGGAGUGGAGGAAGGUUGCUGCUCUGGGUCUGAUUUUCAUUGGUCUGGUUGCUCAGGUCAUCUACGAGCAGGAUAUCUCACCGCCGGAAGCUGAGAAGACAGAGAAAAUAGAAGAAUAAAAAAGGAGUUGCAGACAUAUCGGUAGGGUGGUGUAAUCUCACACAGGCAAUGUAAACUGUAUAUGGUAGCAUGAAUAGAUACAAGGUUUAAUACUUCAAUCGUUCAUAACCCAAGAAAUUAUUUAAUACGUAGUUCGGCAAACAAACCACAGGUUUCUCUAACCUGAGAUCUGAUAGACUCAAGCAGACUUCAAACCUGCUUCAGAGAUAUGUUUCAGCAAUGUUAUAGCCAAAACAUGGUAACAGUGUUACCUUCUUGACGAGUUAGAAAAAUAUUGACACAAUUUUUAUAAUCCAAAAAAAAAUGUUUAACAUGUAGCUUGGCCAAUAAACCACAGGUUUCUCUAACCUGAGGUCUGAUAAACUCAAGCUGUCUUCAAUCUUGCAUCAGAGAUUUGUUUCAGCAACGUUAUAGCCAAAACAUAGUAACAGUGUUAAAUUCUUGAUGCGUUACAAAAAUAUUGAUACAUUUUUUUAUAAUCCAAAAAAAAUGUUUGACAUGUAGCUUGGCCAAUAAACCACAGGUUUCUCUAAUCUGAGAUCUGAUAAACCCAAGAUGUCUUCAAUCUUGUAUCAGAGAUAUGUUUCAGCAAUGUUAUAGCCAAAACAUGGUAACAGUGUUAAAUUCUUGACGAGUUACAAAAAUAUUGAUAUGAUUUUUUAUAAUCCAAAAAAAUGUUUAACAUGUAGCUUGGCCAAUAAACCAUAGGUUUCUCUAAUCUGAGAUCUGAUAAACACAAGCUGUCUUCAAUCUUGUAUCAGAGAUAUGUUUCAGCAAUGUUAUAGCCAAAACAUGGUAACAGUGUUAAAUUCUUGACGAGUUACAAAAAUAUUGAUAUAAUUUUUAUAAUCCACAAAAAUGUUUAACAUGUAGCUUGGCCAAUAAACCAUAGGUUUCUCUAACCUGAGGUCUGAUAAACUCAAGUUGUCUUCAAUCUUGCAUCAGAGAUUUGUUUCAGCAACAUUAUAGCCAAAACAUAGUAACAGUAUUAAAUUCUUGAUGCGUUACAAAAAUAUUGAUACAUUUUUUUAUAAUCCAAAAAAAAUGUUUGACAUGUAGCUUGGCCAAUAAACCACAGGUUUCUCUAACCUGAGGUCUGAUAAACUCAAGCUGUCUUCAAUCUUGCAUCAGAGAUUUGUUUCAGCAACGUUAUAGCCAAAACAUAGUAACAGUGUUAAAUUCAUGAUGCGUUACAAAAAUAUUGAUACAAUUUUUUAUAAUCCAAAAAAAAUUGUUUAACAUGUAGCUUGGCCAAUAAACCACAGGUUUCUCUAAUCUGAGAUCUGAUAAACCCAAGCUGUCUUCAAUCUUGUAUCAGAGAUAUGUUUCAGCAAUGUUAUAGCCAAAACAUGGUAACAGUAUUAAAUUCUUGACGAGUUACAAAAAUAUUGAUAUAAUUUUUAUAAUCCAAAAAAAUGUUUAACAUGUAGCUUGGCCAAUAAACCAUAGGUUUCUCUAACCUGAGGUCUGAUAAACUCAAGUUGUCUUCAAUCUUGCAUCAGAGAUUUGUUUCAGCAACAUUAUAGCCAAAACAUAGUAACAGUAUUAAAUUCUUGAUGCGUUACAAAAAUACUGAUACAUUUUUUUUAUAAUCCAAAAAAAUGUUUAACAUGUAGCUUGGCCAAUAAACCACAGGUUUCUCUAACCUGAGGUCUGAUAAACUCAAGCUGUCUUCAAUCUUGCAUCAGAGAUUUGUUUCAGCAACGUUAUAGCCAAAACAUAGUAACAGUGUUAAAUUCAUGAUGCGUUACAAAAAUAUUGAUACAAUUUUUUAUAAUCCAAAAAAAAUUGUUUAACAUGUAGCUUGGCCAAUAAACCACAGGUUUCUCUAAUCUGAGAUCUGAUAAACCCAAGCUGUCUUCAAUCUUGUAUCAGAGAUAUGUUUCAGCAAUGUUAUAGCCAAAACAUGGUAACAGUAUUAAAUUCUUGACGAGUUACAAAAAUAUUGAUAUAAUUUUUAUAAUCCAAAAAAAUGUUUAACAUGUAGCUUGGCCAAUAAACCAUAGGUUUCUCUAACCUGAGGUCUGAUAAACUCAAGCUGUCUUCAAUCUUGCAUCAGAGAUUUGUUUCAGCAACAUUAUAGCCAAAACAUAGUAACAGUAUUAAAUUCUUGAUGCGUUACAAAAAUACUGAUACAUUUUUUUAUAAUCCAAAAAAAUGUUUAACAUGUAGCUUGGCCAAUAAACCACAGGUUUCUCUAACCUGAGGUCUGAUAAACUCAAGUUGUCUUCAAUCUUGCAUCAGAGAUUUGUUUCAGCAACGUUAUAGCCAAAACAUAGUAACAGUGUUAAAUUCAUGAUGCGUUACAAAAAUAUUGAUACAAUUUUUUUAUAAUCCAAAAAAAAUUGUUUAACAUGUAGCUUGGCCAAUAAACCACAGGUUUCUCUAAUCUGAGAUCUGAUAAACCCAAGUUGUCUUCAAUCUUGUAUCAGAGAUAUGUUUCAGCAAUGUUAUAGCCAAAACAUGGUAACAGUGUUAAAUUCUUGACGAGUUACAAAAAUAUUGAUAUAAUUUUUAUAAUCCAAAAAAAUGUUUAACAUGUAGCUUGGCCAAUAAACCAUAGGUUUCUCUAACCUGAGGUCUGAUAAACUCAAGCUGUCUUCAAUCUUGCAUUAGAGAUUUGUUUCAGCAACAUUAUAGCCAAAACAUAGUAACAGUAUUAAAUUCUUGAUGCGUUACAAAAAUACUGAUACAUUUUUUUAUAAUCCAAAAAAAAUGUUUAACAUGUAGCUUGGCCAAUAAACCACAGGUUUCUCUAACCUGAGGUCUGAUAAACUCAAGUUGUCUUUAAUCUUGCAUCAGAGAUUUGUUUCAGCAACGUUGUAGCCAAAACACAGUAAGUGUUAAAUUCAUGAUGCGUUACAAAAAUAUUGAUACAUUUUUUAUAAUCCAAAAAAAUAGCAUGUAGCUUGGCCAAUAAACCACAGGUUUCUCUGAUCUGAGAUCUGAUAAACUCAAGCUGUCUUCAAUCUUGCAUCAGAGAUAUGUUUCAGCAAUGUUAUAGCUAAAACAUGGUAACAGUGUUACCUUCUUGAUGCGUU